GACCAAUCUUAAAAUGAAAAUUCUGGAAAAGAAGGAAGUUAAUCUAUCAGACAACUGAGCAUUAUAGAUAAGGCGUUUACUUAUAAAUGCAUUCACAUUCUGCAACUGCAUAGACAACAAAAGCUUAUAAUUCAAAACAAAAAUGGCGACUGCAAGUCCUGGUCCGUCUAUAGAUAGGGAUGAUUACAACAUGGCUAUUGCUUUUCUUA
Long non-coding RNA from Agrilus planipennis (emerald ash borer), 209 nucleotides. RefSeq lists it as uncharacterized. The record is from RefSeq and is a predicted model, not a curated record. The transcript is spliced from 2 exons. Lineage: Eukaryota; Metazoa; Arthropoda; Insecta; Coleoptera; Buprestidae.